RNAcentral lists this ribosomal RNA (505 nucleotides) under uncultured Glomus. RNAcentral describes it as "SSU rRNA". It matches the Rfam family "Eukaryotic small subunit ribosomal RNA", at positions 569 to 1078 of the family's 1831-position model. The record is from RNAcentral. Lineage: Eukaryota; Fungi; Glomeromycota; Glomeromycetes; Glomerales; Glomeraceae.
AGCAGCCGCGGUAAUUCCAGCUCCAAUAGCGUAUAUUAAAGUUGUUGCAGUUAAAAAGCUCGUAGUUGAAUUUCGGGGUCAGUAGAUUGGUCGUGCCACUGGUAUGUACUGGUCUCACUGGCUCCUCCUUCCUGAUGAACCGUAAUGCCAUUAAUUUGGUGUUGCAGGGAGACUGGACUGUUACUUUGAAAAAAUUAGAGUGUUUAAAGCAGGCUAACGCUUGAAUACAUUAGCAUGGAAUAAUGAAAUAGGACGUUCGAUCUUAUUUUGUUGGUUUCUAAGAUUGACGUAAUGAUUAAUAGGGAUAGUUGGGGGCAUUAGUAUUCAAUUGUCAGAGGUGAAAUUCUUGGAUUUAUUGAAGACUAACUACUGCGAAAGCAUUUGCCAAGGAUGUUUUCAUUAAUCAAGAACGAAAGUUAGGGGAUCGAAGACGAUCAGAUACCGUCGUAGUCUUAACCAUAAACUAUGCCGACUAGGGAUCGGAUGAUGUUAAUUUUUUUAAUGA